RNAcentral lists this ribosomal RNA (532 nucleotides) under uncultured bacterium. RNAcentral describes it as "bacterial SSU rRNA". It matches the Rfam family "Bacterial small subunit ribosomal RNA", at positions 8 to 526 of the family's 1533-position model. The record is from RNAcentral.
AGAGUUUGAUCCUGGCUCAGGACGAACGCUGGCGGCGUGCCUAACACAUGCAAGUGGAGCGACGAAGCGGGCUUCGGCCCGUUGCAAAGCCGCGAACGGGUGAGUAACACGUGGGUAACCUGCCCCGAUGACCGGGACAACCCGAGGAAACUCGGGCUAAUACCGGAUGUGGUCACCUCACAUAAGUGAGAUGACCAAAGAUAGCUUCGGCCUUCGCAUCGGGAUGGGCCCGCGGCGCAUUAGCUUGUUGGUGAGGUAACGGCUCACCAAGGCUACGAUGCGUAGCUGGUCUGAGAGGACGAUCAGCCACACUGGGACUGAGACACGGCCCAGACUCCUACGGGAGGCAGCAGUGGGGAAUCUUGCGCAAUGCGCGAAAGCGUGACGCAGCAACGCCGCGUGGGGGAAGAAGGCCUUCGGGUUGUAAACCCCUUUCAGGAGGGACGAAACCUGGCUGGUGAAUAGCCAGUUCAGGUGACGGUACCUCCAUAAGAAGCCCCGGCUAACUACGUGCCAGCCGCCGCGGUAAUUC